This 79-nucleotide transfer RNA is filed under the name Gastrotheca recava. Its description in RNAcentral is "tRNA-Leu". It matches the Rfam family "tRNA". From Rfam's summary of the family: Transfer RNA (tRNA) molecules are approximately 80 nucleotides in length. Their secondary structure includes four short double-helical elements and three loops (D, anti-codon, and T loops). The record is from RNAcentral. Lineage: Eukaryota; Metazoa; Chordata; Amphibia; Anura; Hemiphractidae.
GUCAAUGUAGCAGAACCCGGUACUGCAAAAGACCUAAACCCUUUUUAUAGAGGCUCAAAUCCUCUCAUUGAUACAAAUU